Long non-coding RNA from Erinaceus europaeus (western European hedgehog), 623 nucleotides. RefSeq lists it as uncharacterized. The record is from RefSeq and is a predicted model, not a curated record. Lineage: Eukaryota; Metazoa; Chordata; Mammalia; Eulipotyphla; Erinaceidae. The transcript is spliced from 2 exons.
CCAGAGGCGCGGGCCCCGCCCACUCGCCCGGGGCCUUCGCUUCUUGACCUCAAGCCACGCCCCCAGGGGAGAGACUCGAGGAGAUUCACCUUCUGGGAUAGGCUCUACUUCAACAAAGCCCUCCCUCAACUAUACUCUGAUUGGUCAGAAAAUGCUGUAGCUUGUUACUCACGCCAAACGCCCUCUUGAAUGAGUUUCAAAGGAUGUUUCCACUGACCAAUCGAGAGACCGCUCUCUCCGGACUCACUAACCAUUGGAUAACAGGAACGUCGCAAUCGUCCAAUGGUCCUGCGACCACUUCGUCGGGAGCGGAGAUGCUGUGUGAAAUAAAUCAAGUCCAGGCUGCAGCAGAAGACACUGUCCAUGGCACUAAGCAGCACCAGCUUGCUGUCAUCAGCAGCUGCAGUGCCUAGGGCACGCUGCACUUCCUUCAUCACCUCUGGAUUUAGACUUAUUCUCUGAGGAUUUGGUUGAUCGCAAGAUGUGGGUGAAGUCAUCCUGCUUGCUUCCUGACAGCAACAUCUCUAUUAUCGAUAGGAACUUUCUGUUUGCCUCACACUGAAAUGCAACUGCCUGUCAAAAGGCUUUUUCUUCUGUCAAUAAACUUCCUCUUCCUGCUGUCA